RNAcentral lists this transfer RNA (72 nucleotides) under Diaphorina citri (Asian citrus psyllid). It matches the Rfam family "tRNA". Rfam says of the family: Transfer RNA (tRNA) molecules are approximately 80 nucleotides in length. The record is from Rfam by way of RNAcentral. Lineage: Eukaryota; Metazoa; Arthropoda; Insecta; Hemiptera; Psyllidae.
GCCUCGACGGUGUAGUGGUCAAGACCUCCGUCUGGUAAUCAGAAGAGCGUGGGUUCAAUCCCGGUCGAGGUA